ACCCCUCAGACGGUGAGAUUGUACUUCCUCACCUAUUUGACGUUAGGAGUGGCCACGUGACAGGCCCUCGCCAACACAACGAACCGAAGGAACAUGUGUUACCAGUUAGCAUUUUGCCACGUUCUCUUUAUCCAUCUGCGCGACGACCGGCCAUUUCCAGGCAGUGGCUGCUCUCUCUGCCCAAAUCCAGCUUGAGGAGAAGCAGAAACCAGUGCCUCUCCAAAACACGUAGCCCGAGUGAGGAGUAAACCUUUGUUGUUGGAAGCAACUACGGCUUGGGGGCUGUUUGUCACAAAGCCCAACGUAACUCAUGCUGACUGACACUUCCUCGUUCUGUGACCUUGGCAAAGCUACUUAACCUCUCCAAGUUUCCACUUCCUCCCCGGUGAAAUGUAGAUGUUGAUAUUCCCAUUCCAUAGGUGGGUGGAAAAAACCAAUUAAUGUCUAAAGUGCUCAGCCCUGUACCUGGCGCCUGGUGGGCACCUGUGAAGCAAUAGGGAUUAUUAUGAUCUCACCAUAGGGGCUCUUCCCCAUCUGUCAAAUGGGAACGGGCGUCUAGACUGAGGGGAUCCAGUGAUGCUUGCCACCUGUCUUUCUACCAUAGCAGCCAUAUAAAGAUACUUACACAUGAAUAAGAAAUGGUCAACGUAGAUGCAAGAAAACCUAAGAGAGGGAAGCCCUGUCCUCACCACGAGGAGCACACACUAAGGAAGGGGCAGGUGGCAACAGCCAGGAGGCAGGUACCGUGCUUCGGAAAUUCACCUGCAUUUUGUAAUUUCAUCCACACCACAGCACUUUGAGCAGAUAAAAAUGGCCUCAUGGAAACAUACCCUGACUUGACUGGUCUCUGUUUGGAAACAAGCAGAUAUAGGCAGGACAUGGAAAUACAAGAAGAGACAUGGAAAAGAUACAUUUUUGAAACGUCCGAAUGAACGCGCUAAAGACUGAGCUGCAGGUGCUGUCUACACACUAAUGAGUUCCAUGACCACGUGCUCCGAGUAAUGCGUCUAUGACCACGUGCUCGGAGCUGCUCUGGGGCGCAGAUGACAGCUGAAUCAACUGAAAGGAACUGCGCACGAGCCAAGGAGGUCCAGAGAGACAAGGGGACAGAGGAUCUGGCGGGCUUCAGGCUGACAGC
Felis catus (domestic cat) is the source of this 1138-nucleotide long non-coding RNA. RefSeq lists it as uncharacterized. NCBI's taxonomy places the organism in Eukaryota, Metazoa, Chordata, Mammalia, Carnivora, Felidae. The record is from RefSeq and is a predicted model, not a curated record. The transcript has 5 exons.